AAGCUUCGUCGUUCCUUUUUGAAAUGUUUGUCUUGUUUACCUACUCGAAAUUGAGUCGAAUGAAGGAAUAAGGAUGUAUGGACACUUUUUCCCGUUUACUUCGUUCUCUCUUUUUGCAACACUCGUUAAUUCACUAAUGUGACAUUUCAUGGCACCUCUACACUAUUUUCUAAUGUAAAUUAGGGAAGGUGCG
Caenorhabditis elegans is the source of this 193-nucleotide non-coding RNA. The record is from Ensembl. NCBI's taxonomy places the organism in Eukaryota, Metazoa, Nematoda, Chromadorea, Rhabditida, Rhabditidae.